RNAcentral lists this transfer RNA (72 nucleotides) under Danionella translucida. It matches the Rfam family "tRNA". Rfam says of the family: Transfer RNA (tRNA) molecules are approximately 80 nucleotides in length. Their secondary structure includes four short double-helical elements and three loops (D, anti-codon, and T loops). RNAcentral also lists the same sequence under 1 other name. The record is from Rfam by way of RNAcentral. Lineage: Eukaryota; Metazoa; Chordata; Actinopteri; Cypriniformes; Danionidae.
UCCCAUAUGGUCUAGCAGUUAGGAUUCCUGUUUUUCACCCAGGCAGCCCGGGUUCAACUCCCGGUAUGGGAA